UAGCUGAAGAGGGACAGCCUUACC
RNAcentral lists this unclassified non-coding RNA (24 nucleotides) under Mus musculus (house mouse). RNAcentral describes it as "oocyte_clustered_small_RNA9268". Lineage: Eukaryota; Metazoa; Chordata; Mammalia; Rodentia; Muridae. The record is from RNAcentral.